This 23-nucleotide non-coding RNA is filed under the name Mus musculus (house mouse). The record is from RNAcentral. Lineage: Eukaryota; Metazoa; Chordata; Mammalia; Rodentia; Muridae.
UAGUGACAGGUCUCAAAGUGCAG